GAUGAACGCUGGCGGCGUGCCUAAUACAUGCCAGUCGAGCGAACAGACGAGGAGCUUGCUCCUCUGACGUUAGCGGCGGACGGGUGAGUAACACGUGGAUAACCUACCUAUAAGACUGGGAUAACUUCGGGAAACCGGAGCUAAUACCGGAUAACAUGUUGAACCGCAUGGUUCAACAGUGAAAGACGGUUUUGCUGUCACUUAUAGAUGGAUCCGCGUCGCAUUAGCUAGUUGGUAAGGUAACGGCUUACCAAGGCAACGAUGCGUAGCCGACCUGAGAGGGUGAUCGGCCGCACUGGAACUGAGACACGGUCCAGACUCCUACGGGAGGCAGCAGUAGGGAAUCUUCCGCAAUGGGCGAAAGCCUGACGGAGCAACGCCGCGUGAGUGAAGAAGGUCUUCGGAUCGUAAAACUCUGUUAUUAGGGAAGAACAAAUGUGUAAGUAACUAUGCACGUCUUGACGGUACCUAAUCAGAAAGCCACGGCUAACUACGUG
Molecule: ribosomal RNA, 497 nt
Filed under: uncultured bacterium
Lineage: Bacteria
Description: partial 16S ribosomal RNA
Rfam family: Bacterial small subunit ribosomal RNA
Source: RNAcentral